Macaca fascicularis (crab-eating macaque) is the source of this 310-nucleotide unclassified non-coding RNA. It matches the Rfam family "Metazoan signal recognition particle RNA". Rfam says of the family: The signal recognition particle (SRP) is a universally conserved ribonucleoprotein. It is involved in the co-translational targeting of proteins to membranes. NCBI's taxonomy places the organism in Eukaryota, Metazoa, Chordata, Mammalia, Primates, Cercopithecidae. The record is from Ensembl.
GCCGGGCAUGGUGGCAUGUGCCUGUGGUUCCAGCUACUUGGGAGGCUGAGGUGGGAGGAUUGCUUGAGCCCAGGAGUUCUGGGCUGCAAUACACUAUGCUAAUCAGGUGUCCACACUAAGUUCAGCAUCAGUAUGGUGACCUCCUGGGAGCAGGGAAUCACCAGGUUGCCUAAGGAGGGGUGAACUGGCCCAGGUCGAAAAUGGACCAGAUCAAAAGUCCUGUGCUGAUCAGAUCUGUUUCUAUGCAUUUCCAUAUAUUUGUGCAUAUAAAUGUUUUAUAUUUUAACAUAAAUGAGAUCACUCACUAUAU